CGACUGCUGCGGUGUACGGCUAGAAGGGUCUCGGCGAAGUGGACUCGACCGGAUUGUUUCUUCAGUAUGUUCAGUGAGUGAAUUGAAUUCUGUAUCGAAGCUGCGAUUCCGAUAACCGAUUACGUUUAGUACAUAUUGAGUUACAACAAUUUGGUAGUCCAGACAAGAUGUUGCAGUCCAUUUCACAGGAGAAAUUAAAAUUGAUGCAGUCUAAUUUACAUGAGGAAUUGAACCUAAUGCAAUACAGUUUACAGGAGAAAAGAUUCCAGAAGGAAAUUGCAAUGGGCUGAUAUUUUAUAUAGAUGACUUUUACUCACAUGUCUUACAGUUGAUUGUUCUGCCAAUGACUAGGAAGAUUUAUUGGACAUACUAGUAGCAAGAUCACGAUUUGAAGAAAUCCUUGUUUACAUUGAGAUGCUGAUUGUAUCAAAUGAAUUUAUAACGAAAAAUCCAAUUAACUUGGAAAAUCAUAAGUGCCGGCGCUACCGGGCUCAACAAUAUGGCAAUAUGGACUUGCCGACAUACAUAUUGUGGAAUAUGUGCACUUUUGAAGAAAAUUACAAGAAUGAUGCUCUACAAAUCGUACAGUGAAUCAAACAAUAUGGACUUGCCGACAUGCAUAUUGUGGAACAUGUGCACUCUUGAAGGAAAUUACAAGGAUGAUGCUCUACAAAUCCAACAGUAAAUCAAACAAUAUGGAUUUGCCGACAUGCAUAUUGUGGAACAUGUGCAUUCUUGAAGAAAAUGACAAGAAUGAUGCUCUACAAAUCCUAGAGUGAAUCAAAGAAUCGUGGGCCCUAACCGAAGAGAAUAAUGCCAAAGAAUUGAGCUGUAGGAUUUCAAAGAGGCUGCAGCUUUUAUUGAAUUAGAUGAGAUGCAUUUUGAUAGCCCAAAAAGCAGAGUCGAUGUGCCUUCUCCAUCGAGUCAUUAUGAGGGAUUGAUGCUAAUAAUGGAAAUCAAAAGACAAAAAUGCCGUCGUGUGCCUGAGGAUUUUGCAAACGGGCAAAAUAUAAGAUUCCAGAAGGAAAUUGCAAUGGGCUGAUAUUUUAUAUAGAUGACUUUUACUCACAUGUCUUACAGUUGAUUGUUCUGCCAAUGACUAGGAAGAUUUAUUGGACAUACUAGUAGCAAGAUCACGAUUUGAAGAAAUCCUUGUUUACAUUGAGAUGCUGAUUGUAUCAAAUGAAUUUAUAACGAAAAAUCCAAUUAACUUGGAAAAUCAUAAGUGCCGGCGCUACCGGGCUCAACAAUAUGGCAAUAUGGACUUGCCGACAUACAUAUUGUGGAAUAUGUGCACUUUUGAAGAAAAUUACAAGAAUGAUGCUCUACAAAUCGUACAGUGAAUCAAACAAUAUGGACUUGCCGACAUGCAUAUUGUGGAACAUGUGCACUCUUGAAGGAAAUUACAAGGAUGAUGCUCUACAAAUCCAACAGUAAAUCAAACAAUAUGGAUUUGCCGACAUGCAUAUUGUGGAACAUGUGCAUUCUUGAAGAAAAUGACAAGAAUGAUGCUCUACAAAUCCUAGAGUGAAUCAAAGAAUCCUGGGCCCUAACCGAAGAGAAUAAUGCCAAAGAAUUGAGCUGUAGGAUUUCAAAGAGGCUGCAGCUUUUAUUGAAUUAGAUGAGAUGCAUUUUGAUAGCCCAAAAAGCAGAGUCGAUGUGCCUUCUCCAUCGAGUCAUUAUGAGGGAUUGAUGCUAAUAAUGGAAAUCAAAAGACAAAAAUGCCGUCGUGUGCCUGAGGAUUUUGCAAACGGGCAAAAUAUAAGCAAUGGCAAUGAUGAUGCUGCCAAAGAAUCUUUGCUGAGCAAGACCAACAAAAGAAUGUAAGCGAUGAAGAUGCUUUUCGGUGCCCCAUAAAUGACUGCUGACUGAGUGGUGCAAGAAGCACUAAAGAUUAGUGGCAAUGAUGAAGCUGCCAAAGAAUCAUCGUUGAGCAAGACCAACAAAAGAAUGUAAGGGAUGAAGAUGCUUUUUGGAGCCCAAUAAUUGACGUUGCCGUUGAGCGAGUGGCGCAAGAAGAACUGAAAAUUGCUUGCAAUGGUUACUAUCUACUGUCCAAGAAUGCCACAACUGAUGCUUCCUAAGAACGCCAAUCAUGUUUUGCAAGCAACGAUAAAAUUGCUUGCAAUGAUUACGAGGUACUGUCCAUGAAUGCUACAACUGAUGCUCCCUAAGAAUGCCAAUCAUGUAUUGCGAGCAACGAUAAAAUUGUCUUUGAUGAGUACUACCCACUUGCCACUGCCCAAUAAUGGUACUACUGAUGAUGCUGCUUAAGAAUGACGAUAAUCUAUUAUGAGCCACCACCACUCGGAUGGUGUUUGAAGAAAUGUUAGCAGUGGUUAUUAAAUUGCUUGCAACGACUACUACUAUUGCCAAGAAAAAUGCUUGAACUGAUGCCCCCUAAGAAUGAUGAUCAUGUAUUACGAGCAACGAAUAAAUUGCUUGCAAUGAUUACUACAUACUGUCGAAGAAAGCCACAACUGAUGCUUCCUAAGAAUGCCAAUCAUGUAUUGCGAGCAAUGAUAA
Molecule: long non-coding RNA, 2526 nt
Organism: Ctenocephalides felis (cat flea)
Lineage: Eukaryota; Metazoa; Arthropoda; Insecta; Siphonaptera; Pulicidae
Exons: 14
Source: RefSeq, a predicted model, not a curated record